Molecule: ribosomal RNA, 233 nt
Filed under: uncultured bacterium
Lineage: Bacteria
Description: partial 16S ribosomal RNA
Rfam family: Bacterial small subunit ribosomal RNA
Source: RNAcentral
GAUCAUGGCUCAGAUUGAACGCUGGCGGCAUGCUUUACACAUGCAAGUCGAACGGCAGCACGAAAGAGCUUGCUCUUUUGGUGGCGAGUGGCGAACGGGUGAGUAAUGCAUCGGAACGUACCGAGUAAUGGGGGAUAACUAUCCGAAAGGAUAGCUAAUACCGCAUACGCUUUGAGAAGGAAAGUGGGGGCUCUUCGGACCUCACGUUAUUCGAGCGGCCGAUGUCUGAUUAG